Molecule: ribosomal RNA, 267 nt
Filed under: uncultured bacterium
Lineage: Bacteria
Description: partial 16S ribosomal RNA
Source: RNAcentral
CUGCUGCCUUCCGUAGGAGUCUGGUCCGUGUCUCAGUACCAGUGUGGGGGACCUUCCUCUCAGAACCCCUACGCAUCGUCGCCUCGGUGGGCCGUUACCCCGCCGACUAGCUAAUGCGCCGCAUGGCCAUCCGCAGCCGAUGAAUCUUUAACCGCCGAGGGAUGCCCCUCUGCGGUGUUACGCGGUAUUAGACGGAAUUUCUUCCGCUUAUCCCCCUGCUGCGGGCAGGUUCCAUACGUGUUACUCACCCGUGCGCCGGUCGCCGGG